Molecule: ribosomal RNA, 484 nt
Filed under: uncultured bacterium
Lineage: Bacteria
Description: partial 16S ribosomal RNA
Rfam family: Bacterial small subunit ribosomal RNA
Source: RNAcentral
AUUGAACGCUGGCGGCAUGCUUUACACAUGCAAGUCGAACGGCAGCGCGGGCUUCGGCCUGGCGGCGAGUGGCGAACGGGUGAGUAAUACAUCGGAACGUGCCCAGUAGUGGGGGAUAGCUCGGCGAAAGCAGGAUUAAUACCGCAUACGACCUGAGGGUGAAAGCGGGGGAUCUUCGGACCUCGCGCUAUUGGAGCGGCCGAUGGCAGAUUAGCUAGUUGGUGGGGUAAAGGCCUACCAAGGCGACGAUCUGUAGCUGGUCUGAGAGGACGACCAGCCACACUGGGACUGAGACACGGCCCAGACUCCUACGGGAGGCAGCAGUGGGGAAUUUUGGACAAUGGGCGAAAGCCUGAUCCAGCAAUGCCGCGUGUGUGAUGAAGGCCUUCGGGUUGUAAAGCACUUUUGGCGGGAACGAAAAGGACUGUGCCAAUACCACGGUUCGAUGACGGUACCCGCAGAAUAAGCACCGGCUAACUACGUG